UCACCUACAAGAGUUGUAUGGUGAACAUAGCAGGAAUGCCAGGUAUGAGAUAUCUAGGCAGCUAUUUCGCAUAAGGAUGUCUGAGGAACAGAAUGUUGGGGAUCAUAUCCACAAGAUGAUUCGACUUAUUGAGCAGCUGAAACAUCUUGACUUUAAUAUGGAUUUCCAGCUGCAAACGAAUUUGAUCCUUCAGUCCCUACCUGAGUCAUUUGGGAAUUUUGUG
Molecule: unclassified non-coding RNA, 223 nt
Filed under: Hevea brasiliensis (rubber tree)
Lineage: Eukaryota; Viridiplantae; Streptophyta; Magnoliopsida; Malpighiales; Euphorbiaceae
Source: RNAcentral